Molecule: long non-coding RNA, 289 nt
Filed under: Cyanistes caeruleus (blue tit)
Lineage: Eukaryota; Metazoa; Chordata; Aves; Passeriformes; Paridae
Description: lncRNA (ENSCCEG00000022282.1)
Source: RNAcentral
UGUAUCUGUGGGUAGCAGUGUAGGCACAACCUACUAUUAGUUUAUCUGGUUUUGUGAUGGGCUCCUCCUUAUCUCUGAAGCAAUGACUGGGAAAAUCAGCUGCUCUCAUCUGAUCCAGGGCUUCUUACCAUUUCUCUAAAUGGCUGAGUCUUUCCCAAGACACCUGGUACUUUCACAACUGUGACUUGGUACUAAAAUCUAGAGGACAUCUGAAAGAUCUAUGCAAUCGAGGAAUGAAGCUGAAAGACUUCGCCAUCCUUUGGUGAAUAAAUUGGUUUGUGGAAAGCAG